AGUCGAACGGAAAGGCCCCUUCGGGGGUACUCGAGUGGCGAACGGGUGAGUAACACGUGGGCAAUCUGCCCUGCACUUCGGGAUAAGCCUGGGAAACUGGGUCUAAUACCGGAUAGGACCUUUAGGCGCAUGUCUUUAGGUGGAAAGCUUUUGCGGUGUGGGAUGGGCCCGCGGCCUAUCAGCUUGUUGGUGGGGUGAUGGCCUACCAAGGCGACGACGGGUAGCCGGCCUGAGAGGGUGUCCGGCCACACUGGGACUGAGAUACGGCCCAGACUCCUACGGGAGGCAGCAGUGGGGAAUAUUGCACAAUGGGCGCAAGCCUGAUGCAGCGACGCCGCGUGGGGGAUGACGGCCUUCGGGUUGUAAACCUCUUUCACCAUCGACGAAGGUUCGGGUUUUCUCGGAUUGACGGUAGGUGGAGAAGAAGCACCGGCCAACUACGUGCCAGCAGCCGCGGUAAUACGUAGGGUGCGAGCGUUGUCCGGAAUUACUGGGCGUAAAGAGCUCGUAGGUGGUUUGUCGCGUUGUUCGUGAAAUCUCACGGCUUAACUGUGAGCGUGCGGGCGAUACGGGCAGACUAGAGUACUGCAGGGGAGACUGGAAUUCCUGGUGUAGCGGUGGAAUGCGCAGAUAUCAGGAGGAACACCGGUGGCGAAGGCGGGUCUCUGGGCAGUAACUGACGCUGAGGAGCGAAA
RNAcentral lists this ribosomal RNA (695 nucleotides) under Mycobacterium sp. Asan 37889. RNAcentral describes it as "bacterial SSU rRNA". It matches the Rfam family "Bacterial small subunit ribosomal RNA", at positions 60 to 758 of the family's 1533-position model. The record is from RNAcentral. Lineage: Bacteria; Bacillati; Actinomycetota; Actinomycetes; Mycobacteriales; Mycobacteriaceae.